CAGAGCUGUGGGUGUUGCAGGGUAAGCUUUCAAGCCUGGCCUUCUGGUAUACUUAGCCCAGCGUGCAGACGGACAGAUCACAACAGCCUUCACAAGAACAAAGCACGUCUGGAAAUCCAUAAACAGCCAGCCAGCAAGAUCUUUCCUCCUCUCUCUGCAGGUCCAAUACAUAAAGCUAAUGAAGAUGAUCAUCACAAUCUAUCCACACUGACAGUAAUGCCUCUGUACCCACUGACCUUUAGGAACAUGCUAGUUUGCCUCAUAACAAGUCUGUAUGGAAACCCAAGCACACAGAGACAGCCACUGGCACAUUCACAGCUCCCUUCCCCUCAUCUGAUGACAAGAGAACAGGAAGGAAAGCUGUAUCCAUGGGGAGAUGAUCUGCUUUAACCCUGAUAUGAAUCAACUAAUUUUGCAAUUGUUUAGUUGAUUCAUGCAUCGUGUGUGUUAUAAUCACAACAAAUCCACCGUACCCAUGGUUCUAAAUAGUCUAACUCAAUUUUAGAGUCAAAAACGUGUGCUUGAUACAGUCUGUGAAUUGAUUAGCGUUGAAGUGCUAAAAUGCAUUUUAGAUUUGUAGGCGCACACUAAAAGCUGAGAUCGAAGUCAAUAAAUAAAUAAAUAAUCAUACUGCCAGUGGCCUCAAAGCCUUUAGCAUAUGAUGAUGAUUUAGAUUGAUUAUUGUAGAUAAAAACAAUCUAAAUCACACUUUGUAUUCUACAUUUGAUCAAUCCAAUCAAAUUGCAUCUUCGCAGAUAAAUCACUUUAAACUGAAUAUUUUAUCAGAAUACCAUUCAAAACCUAUAUGGUUUUCUUUUUUUUUUCUCAGUGGGAAAAAUGUUUCCAGGUACAACAAAAUCCCUGCUUGUCAAAUCUGCUAUUUUCCAGUUCAGUUGCAAUUUUGCUUGGUUUAUUAAGAAAAUUAUAAACAAGAUUAGGAUUUGAAGCCAGGUCCCCUUGCACGCUAAUUGAAAAAGUGUUUUACUAAAAUAUCUUACAUUUCAAUAAUAUAAUACUAAGAUGUUAUCGUGCCUCA
Cyprinus carpio carpio is the source of this 1036-nucleotide long non-coding RNA. The record is from Ensembl. Lineage: Eukaryota; Metazoa; Chordata; Actinopteri; Cypriniformes; Cyprinidae.